RNAcentral lists this microRNA precursor (103 nucleotides) under Marmota monax (woodchuck). The record is from RNAcentral. Lineage: Eukaryota; Metazoa; Chordata; Mammalia; Rodentia; Sciuridae.
AGUGGAACAGCUGGAUCAAAUGGUGAUUCCAUUCCCAAUUUUCUGAGGAAUCUCCAUACCGCUUUCCAUAGUGGUUACACCAAUUUGCAGUCCCAUCAGCAAU